Molecule: long non-coding RNA, 313 nt
Filed under: Triticum aestivum (bread wheat)
Lineage: Eukaryota; Viridiplantae; Streptophyta; Magnoliopsida; Poales; Poaceae
Description: long non-coding RNA (TAES_LNC000788)
Source: RNAcentral
GCCGCUGGUGUGACUGCUUUGCUUUUUUCCAAAGGUACGCCACAUUUGAAUGAGACUGAGCCGUUGAUUUCUUCAAGGCAAUAAUGUCAACAGUUUCCUUUGAUCUUGUUACUCAGGAUGGUGAGUUGCUGGCCGGUUUACAAGGCAACAACAUGUUCACACUUCAUUAAUCGAUUUACAUAUUGGAGUGGGCUUUCUUGUGUCAUACUAUGUGAUUGCUUCUCUUCUAUGUUUAUGGAUUUUUUAUACAUUUCUAUUAUUCUGUCAUCUGAAUGGACUAUUCUAUAUAUUGUAAAAAUAUGUGACUCAUUUG